CCUACGGGUGGCAGCAGUGGGGGAUAUUGCACAAUGGGGGGAAGCCUGAUGCAGCGAAGUCGCGUGGGUGAAGAAGCGCCUCGGCGCGUAAAGCUCUGUCAGCAGGGGAGAAAAUGACGGUACCUGAAGAAGAAGCCCCGGCUAACUACGUGCCAGCAGCCGCGGUCAUACGUCGGGGGCAAGCGUUAUCCGGAUUUACUGGGUGUACAGGGGGAGCAGACGGGGUGGCAAGCCCGGAGUGAAAGCCCGGGGACCAACCCCGGGACUGCGCUUGGAACUGCGUGGCUGGAGUGCAGGAGGGGCAGGCGGAAUUCCUGGUGUAGCGGUGAAAGGCGUAGAUAUCAGGAGGAACACCGAUGGCGAAGGCGGCCUGCUGGACUGCAACUGACGUUGAGGCCCGAAAGCGUGGGGAGCAAACAGGAUUAGAUACCCUAGUAGUC
RNAcentral lists this ribosomal RNA (440 nucleotides) under uncultured bacterium. RNAcentral describes it as "partial 16S ribosomal RNA". It matches the Rfam family "Bacterial small subunit ribosomal RNA", at positions 338 to 795 of the family's 1533-position model. The record is from RNAcentral.